UUCCCAAAUGAACCUGAUGCAGCAAUUAUGUGUGAAUAGCCACCACUCUGCUGAACAAGAUGGACUAAUUUGGCCCAUGGUUCAGCCAAAGGGUAUGUAAAUUUGUCAGAAUCAGCAAUAAGGACCUGAGAAACGGAAGGGUGGGAUGAAGCAGCAUGUUCCGCAGCUUCCUUCAGGGAAUGACCAGAUCCGGCAAGUAGCAACGAUAUCGAAUUGUCCCCACCUAAGGAUUUUGCAGCCUCCACAGCACUUAAUGAUGAGUUUUUGAUUAAUCCUCCUUCAUGUUCAGCUAAAACCAAUGUACUAAGAGAUCGAAAAGGGGUUAUCCGUGAAGUAUUAGAGAGUUUUCUGAAUAAGGAGAGCAUCGUUCCAAUGGCCAUAUCCAGUUCGCUCGCUUCAACUUGUGGUAUUUUGGGUCAAAAAUGUCAGUCCUUAUGGAGUAUUAAAGAUUAUUACUA
RNAcentral lists this unclassified non-coding RNA (458 nucleotides) under Hevea brasiliensis (rubber tree). The record is from RNAcentral. Lineage: Eukaryota; Viridiplantae; Streptophyta; Magnoliopsida; Malpighiales; Euphorbiaceae.